GGCCUGUUGGCCCAAUGGUAAGGCGUCUGACUACGAAUCAGGAGAUUCUGGGUUCGAGCCCCAGGCGGGUCA
This is a non-coding RNA of Hypoxylon sp. NC1633, 72 nucleotides long. The record is from the annotation of a GenBank genome assembly. Lineage: Eukaryota; Fungi; Ascomycota; Sordariomycetes; Xylariales; Hypoxylaceae.